GACGAACGCUGGCGGCGUGCUUAACACAUGCAAGUCGUACGGUAAGGCCCUUUCGGGGGUCCACGAGUGGCGAACGGGUGAGUAACACGUGAGUAACCUGCCCACAACUUUGGGAUAACGCUAGGAAACUGGUGCUAAUACUGGAUAUGUGCUCCUGCUGCAUGGUGGGGGUUGGAAAGCUCCGGCGGUUGUGGAUGGACUCGCGGCCUAUCAGCUUGUUGGUGGGGUAGUGGCCUACCAAGGCGGCGACGGGUAGCCGGCCUGAGAGGGUGACCGGCCACAUUGGGACUGAGAUACGGCCCAGACUCCUACGGGAGGCAGCAGGGGGGAAUAUUGCACAAUGGGCGCAAGCCUGAUGCAGCAACGCCGCGUGCGGGAUGACGGCCUUCGGGUUGUAAACCGCUUUCAGCAGGGACGAAGCUUUUUGUGACGGUACCUGCAGAAGAAGCACCGGCUAACUACGUG
Molecule: ribosomal RNA, 465 nt
Filed under: uncultured bacterium
Lineage: Bacteria
Description: partial 16S ribosomal RNA
Rfam family: Bacterial small subunit ribosomal RNA
Source: RNAcentral